Molecule: long non-coding RNA, 228 nt
Filed under: Elaeis guineensis (African oil palm)
Lineage: Eukaryota; Viridiplantae; Streptophyta; Magnoliopsida; Arecales; Arecaceae
Description: long non-coding RNA (EGUI_LNC019652)
Source: RNAcentral
AAUCAAAUACCUAUAUUAUUUGUUUGGGAUAUUUUUGUACUGGCCGGAGGCAUGGGAUCCGGAGGACUUUUGAACCUAGCUUUCCUCCAUGCACAUGCUUUGAGAAUUGCCUUGGGUCCUUUGAAUCUAAUAGAGGCUUUAAUUGCCCCAUCCCUUUUUCCAUCUCAUCCUUUCAUCAGCAUCAAAAUAAGACAAAAAGAAAAAAAGAGGACAAAAAGAGAAAAGAUG